Molecule: long non-coding RNA, 626 nt
Organism: Gadus macrocephalus (Pacific cod)
Lineage: Eukaryota; Metazoa; Chordata; Actinopteri; Gadiformes; Gadidae
Exons: 2
Source: RefSeq, a predicted model, not a curated record
ACCGUCUCGGCGACGCUAUCCAGAGUAAAGGGCACCGGCUGUGGGAGUUCGACGACAGCCAUUAAGGCAGAAGAUCCAUAGCGUUCCGACCUCGCAACAUAAUGUGUGUGUGUUGGGGAAGAGCAGCAGUCCCUAAUAUGUGUACAGUGUUACAGUUCAGAUUCAACAUCAAUGCGUGACUCACGUUCUCCAAGGGAUAGGAGGCCACGCUCUGAGGCAGGGCCAGGCUGUCGGCCCCCCUCACCACCACCAGCACGUUAGCCCUGGGUCUCUGGAACAACGGACCAGCCUUCAGGCCUGGCCAAGACAGAUCCUGUUAUAAGGAACAAACAAAUCAGUUGAAGCCAUUUAAUCUCCAGGGGUCAACUUCCACGUACAAUUAUCUCCUUGAAUUAUCUUGUCAAAUUAAUUCUCUGUUCUGAAUAUGGGAACGUAAAGUCAUACCUCCUUGACAGAGAAACCCAUGGUUAGGGCCACCAGGUCUGGGAUCUUCUCGCCAGAGAUUGGCCAGUCUCCUUUCUGGAAGGACACAUAAUCCGGAGACUGCAGGAUGGUUAGGCUAUCCCCGUUGACGCCUGGAAAGGAAAGGUGAAUGUGAAAAACUGAUAUUUUCACUUGCAUUCGGU